This is a small nuclear RNA of Hippopotamus amphibius kiboko, 107 nucleotides long. The record is from RefSeq and is a predicted model, not a curated record. NCBI's taxonomy places the organism in Eukaryota, Metazoa, Chordata, Mammalia, Artiodactyla, Hippopotamidae.
GUGCUCACUUCGGCAGCAUGUGUGCUAAAAUUGGAAUGAUACAGAGAAGAUUAGCAUGGCCCCUGAGCAAAGAUAACAUGCAAAUUCAUGAAGCGUUCCAGAAUUUU